Molecule: non-coding RNA, 74 nt
Organism: Ylistrum balloti
Lineage: Eukaryota; Metazoa; Mollusca; Bivalvia; Pectinida; Pectinidae
Source: the annotation of a RefSeq genome assembly
GCGCCCGUAGCUCAGCCGGAUAGAGCAGGAGCCUUCUAAGCUCAAGGUCGCAGGUUCGAAUCCUGCCGGGCGCA